RNAcentral lists this ribosomal RNA (253 nucleotides) under uncultured bacterium. RNAcentral describes it as "partial 16S ribosomal RNA". It matches the Rfam family "Bacterial small subunit ribosomal RNA", at positions 524 to 776 of the family's 1533-position model. The record is from RNAcentral.
UAGAGCGGGUGAAAGCGUUGUUCGGAAUCAUUGGGCGUAAAGCGCGAGUAGGCGGCCUUAUAAGUCUGGUGUGAAAUCCUGGGGCUUAACCCCAGAAGUGCACUGGAUACUGCAAGGCUAGAGGGUGAGAGAGGAGAGUGGAAUUCCUGGUGUAGGGGUGAAAUCCGUAGAUAUCAGGAGGAACAUCUGUGGCGAAGGCGGCUCUCUGGCUCACCUCUGACGCUGAUCCGCGAAAGCGUGGGGAGCAAACAGG